GGAAGGAUCAUUAUUCUGCUACAAACAAAAACCUUCUUUAAAGGGGAUAGGUCCUUAACUGGACUUGUUCCCUUUAUUGAACAAGUGUUACCUUUACUUGUCGAAUCUAAAGUGCAAAAUUGCUAUUUAAUUCGAUCCGCGGGGAGGCAGCCGCGUCAACAAGGACGUCUGUAAACGAAUUUUUUUUUGGGGGGAGUCUUCUUUAUUCUUUUUUUACCUGGUCUCGACUGGGUUAAAAAGAAAUGAAGUGCCCUCGACUGAAACUCAUGAUAAGUUGACCAUCAACUUUCUUAUGAUAAAGUUAAGGUUCUCACCUUGUGUGAAACCUUCAAACCUACAAAAUACAACUCAUAACGGUGGAUUUCUAGGCUCGUGUACCGAUGAAGAACGUAGCAAACUACGAUAACUAGUGUGAAUUGCAAAAUACGUGAAUCAUUGAAUCUUUGAAUGCACACUGCACCGAGGGUCUAAUAACCUUUGGUCUAUCUGGUCGAGUGCCGAUUCUCAAUCACCAAACAAACAAAGUUCUUGUAACUCUGGUUUAGUUAGGUGGAUUUUGAGAGUGGAAAGGGGGCUUUCCCUUUUCCUCUCUUUAAGUUUACGAGAUGGGGAGGUUUUUAACUAAAUCUCUCAAGUCCAACCCCUAGAGUCCUGCGGAGAGAGACUCAUGAUUUUAUCGGGGAGUUGCGACGGUCGUUCUUCAUUACCUCUUUCCUUUCCUUUAUUGGAAGGGAAAGGGAGUUGAAGAAGUCGCGGGUACACCUCUUGGUCUUACAAGGGGGGGAGGUUGGAAUCAUUCCAAAGGCUCCUUUCUAUCCGUCAAGACGGGGAUGCAAAUCCAAGUUAAGACGAGGUGAAUGGGUGCUGGUUUCAACUAGAGAUCCUUCUAAAGACACGAUUGGCCUUGAAACGAAUCCACCUCGUCUUUUUUUCGGGGUUCGGUUUGAGAGGACGAUCGCUAACUUCGUAGUAUCGGUCUAGGCUGGUAAGGCGUGAGUUGGGUGAGGUUUCUGUUAUCUGUGAUUACUUUGGCGUAGUUUUGAAGCUAAUUGACUUAAUAACUAAGGGGGGGUGAUGUUUUUUAAACAUAAAACCCUUCUUAACGGCCUCGGCUCAGGUAGGAUUACCCGCUGAACUUAAGCAUAUUAGUAAGCGGAGGAAAAGAAAUUAACUAAGAUUCCCUCAGUAACUGCGAGUGAACCGGGAGGAAGCCCAGCCCUGAAUCGGGGAGGAUUCGUCUUCUUCCGAAUUGUGGGGUUUGUCGGGGUUGGUCAGGCACUUAAGUGGCAGCGAAGUCAUUCUGGAAAGGUGUACCACAGAGGGUGAUAGUCCCGUAGUUGCUGCUUGAGGGCUGGACUGAUUUCGGCUAGAGUCGAGCUGUUUGGGAGUACAGCUCUAACGGGUGAUAAAUUUCAUCCAAGGCUAAAUAUUAACACGAGACCGAUAGCGAACAAGUACCGCGAGGGAAAGAUGCAAAGAACUCUGAAAAGAGAGUUAAAAGUACAUGAAACCGUUAUGAGGUAAAGCGGUGGCCAGGGUACUUUCCUCUGGUUGAGGGAUCAGCUCACGGGAGUUUCAGGAUGCUUGUUUACGGGUGUUCGUAAGGAUAUCUUAGGCGAGUAUUCAUGGGGCUUCUAGGAGUGUAUUCCCUUGAUCGGAGGGUCACUGUGUGUUUUGCUCGAUUUUGAAGGCUUGGUAGUUGUCCUCGGACGAUGAAGGGCUUUAGAGGUUGGGUGGGACACAGGUCUCUCCAUUCUGGGGAGAACGGGUAGCGCUCAGCUCUUAAGGAUGCUACCCCCGACAGUGAAUACACGGUACCAUGGUUACUGACCCGUCUUGAAACACGGACCAAGGAGUCUAUCAGGUGUGCGAGUUCGAGGGUGAGUAAAACCCAAGGGCAAAAUGAAAGUAAGAGGUGUGAUAUCUGUCAAGGAUUGCAACACCGGCCGACUCGGAUCACUCGUGGUUCAGGGUCGAGCUGGAGCAUAUCUAAUAGAACCCGAAAGGUGGCGAACUAUGCCCGUACAGGAUGAAGCCAGGAGAAAUCCUGGUGGAGGUCCGUAGCGGUAUUGACGUGCAAAUCAUUCGUCAGAUGCGGGUAUAGCGGCGAAAGACCAAUCGAGCCGCCUAGUAGCUGGUUCCCUC
This 2145-nucleotide unclassified non-coding RNA is filed under the name uncultured fungus. RNAcentral's name for it is "sequence contains 18S rRNA gene, ITS1, 5.8S rRNA gene, ITS2, 28S rRNA gene". The stretch from base 1104 to 2145 matches the Rfam family "Eukaryotic large subunit ribosomal RNA", at positions 1 to 961 of the family's 3401-position model. Lineage: Eukaryota; Fungi. The record is from RNAcentral.